This 268-nucleotide ribosomal RNA is filed under the name uncultured prokaryote. RNAcentral describes it as "partial 16S ribosomal RNA". It matches the Rfam family "Bacterial small subunit ribosomal RNA", at positions 524 to 792 of the family's 1533-position model. The record is from RNAcentral.
UACGGAGGGUGCAAGCGUUAUCCGGAAUCACUGGGCGUAAAGGGUGCGUAGGUGGUUUCUUAAGUCAGAGGUGAAAGGCUACGGCUCAACCGUAGUAAGCCUUUGAAACUGAGAAACUUGAGUGCAGGAGAGGAGAGUAGAAUUCCUAGUGUAGCGGUGAAAUGCGUAGAUAUUAGGAGGAAUACCAGUUGCGAAGGCGGCUCUCUGGACUGUAACUGACGCUGAGGCACGAAAGCGUGGGGAGCAAACAGGAUUAGAUACCCUGGUA